Long non-coding RNA from Arvicola amphibius (Eurasian water vole), 1728 nucleotides. RefSeq lists it as uncharacterized. The transcript has 2 exons. Lineage: Eukaryota; Metazoa; Chordata; Mammalia; Rodentia; Cricetidae. The record is from RefSeq and is a predicted model, not a curated record.
ACUGGACUAUAUAGAUUCACAACAUUCGGCCAAUGUGUGUGUGCCCAGGCAUUCUCUCUGAUCUCUAGAAGCCUGAAAUUUGGGGGAGAAAGUAAGUAGACAAAAGUAAGCCAGUACCCCCCAGUGCAUGCUGUUCAUUCCAGGCCCUCUGCUCCAGGGUCCCCACCAUCAUCUUGGCCCCCACCCCUUCUUAUCCAGACUAUCCAACUGUUGCUGCGUUCCCCAGCCACACUCCACCUUUGGUUCUGCUCUUAGAUGGCUCAUCUUGCCAAGAUUCACACUGAAACCACUGCCAAGGAUAUUGUAAAAUGUGAGCUUUAUGCAGUUGAGGAGUAAAUGUCUUUCCCGUGCUUGUGAGUUCUCUGUCUCUCUCUCUCUCUCUCUGUUUGUCUCUCUGUCUCUCUCUCUGCCCCUCUUUAUCUCCUAAGUUACCUUGAGAGCUGAUCAUACGCCCCUUUUGCCAUUCUAUUUUUCAGCAGACUCUCUUCUGCACCAUGUACUUGGCUUUUUAAAUUGUGAGUCAAUUUAAACGUCCUUCUCUUUCAUGUUUCUUAGUCUCAGAUAAUAGCAACAGAAGGCAGACUAAGACAGUCUCCAUUCAGAAACCAGAAUGCUUUCCUAUAUGGAAAACCAGACUAUUUCACUCCUCUUUUACCUACAACAACCCCCAUUGGUAGUCUAGUAGGAUCUAAGCUCUCAUCCAGGCCUGGGAAUCCACAGCCAACCCCAGCCCUUGCCUCUCUCUCAUAGCCCACUCUGUCCCUGCACAGAUAGGUAAUCUACUCCUCUCACACGUUGGCUCUUUCCUGACCCUGGGCCUUUGCACAUGCUGUUCUUCUGGCUGGCUGUUCUUGCAGGGUUCAUACUUUCUGAUCCUGUGUGUCUCAAACUCAAAGGCCAAAAUUCCAUUCCUGUGUCCUCAUGAUGGCUUUUGCCCUGCCCUGGAAUUGGCACUCCAUGAGAUGAGAACUUUUCUCUUUCUGAACCGUGCACAAGGCCCAGAAGGCAUGUACUGCGGUGUGUUUGUCUGUAGACCAGCACUGUGGUGACAAGUCUCUUACUGACACAGAUGGUUCUGAGCCACACUGGGACAUCUGCAACCAUUCUCCAGCUGGGCUCCCAUGUGGCUGUCUGUUUGCCCAUUAUCCCGGCACCAGAGCUAGGUCACCUGCUGGGAAUCACCCCCACUCAGCAGGACUCUUCCUAGUCAAGCCUUAGGAGCGCCAGCUUCCAGAUCUGCCGUUCCUGUCUGCACAGAAGCUUCAGAAGAAAUACGUGCCCCUGAAACAAGCGGAGGGGGAUAAAAGACAUCGCAGUUUCCCAGAUCUCCUCUGGCACGGUGCUCCCAGGAAGAAGAACUUGCCUCCUUCCUCCACCAGAGCCUCUCCUGAAGACCCUUGGGCCUCUCAGACAUGUGCUUGGUUCACUUUUACACUCUUGAGUGUGUCUUUGUUCACCUUUACACACAUUUUCCCAGGUUAGCACAACAGACCACCUCUGGUGGCACAUGUGUGGGCUGUCUCCAGCCCUUCCCUCCUCAGUAAAGCAGCCUUGACCAUUUUUUUUCCCAAUGACAGAAAGGAUGCAGUUUCAAUUUGGGUUUUUUAAUGAAAAUGGGUGACUAGGCAAGUGUGUGUUGAAUGAUAUGUGGAUUGUGGAUGGGCUGAUGUGCCCACACGCUCUCUCACACACAAUAAAUAAACACAUGUAAUAAAUAAAUAAAUGAGA